GCUGGCCAAAAAGUUCGUUCGGGUUUUCCCGCGAUGUCACGGACGAACCCAAAUGAACUUUUGGGUCAAC
This 70-nucleotide microRNA precursor is filed under the name Tursiops truncatus (common bottlenose dolphin). RNAcentral's name for it is "miRNA (ENSTTRG00000024550.1)". Lineage: Eukaryota; Metazoa; Chordata; Mammalia; Artiodactyla; Delphinidae. The record is from RNAcentral.